Long non-coding RNA from Musa acuminata AAA Group (dessert banana), 3078 nucleotides. RefSeq lists it as uncharacterized. NCBI's taxonomy places the organism in Eukaryota, Viridiplantae, Streptophyta, Magnoliopsida, Zingiberales, Musaceae. The record is from RefSeq and is a predicted model, not a curated record. The transcript has 6 exons.
UAAUAGCUUCGGAAGGAAUGUUUAGGGAUCCCACCGAUGAAAGAAAGCCUAAAUUGUCAAUUGAAAUUUUCAGAAGUUGCAGUCUUAAAUUCCGAUGUAUCCCCAGAAGAUGCUACAUGAGCUACUUGUGAGUAUACAGUCAAUGCAGAGGUUUCCAAAGAAGCAGAUAAGCAGGAGAAUAUUUUUCUGGUUUGAGAUGCUGAAAUUUUUUCAUCAUAGCUUGCAGUGAAUAUCCUCAGGCACUUGGAGAAACAAAGGUCCUUUGUACUAGUUUGAUCGUAUUGCAUAGUUUAAACAGCAAGUGAACAUGGUCAGAUCAGAUCCCGGCAGCUAUGCCAGAGGAUGGCGAUGCAUUGGUCCCUCCGAGUCUGUUCAAACUCGAUGGAGCUCUUGGUUGAUGAUCACAUGAAGACUAGAGGGUUGCUGCUCUUUUAUUGAUAUGACUUGGAAGCACAAGCCAUCAUUCUAUAAGGUCAAUGCCUGAACAAUUGUAAUUCGAGUCAAUGACUACUGAAGGGCUUGCAUACUGUGGACUUCUGAUGGGACUUUGAUAACGGUGGGUGAUGGUCAACCUCUUUGGUACUGAGAGAUCAAGCAUCCUGUCAUUUACUGAUGUCAUCUUGUGCUUGUGGACCUUCAUCUGUUUGACCUUAUUGCUUUUUAUUUUAUUGCCUCUGUUGUCGUACUCAGUUGGACUUUUGGUCUAGAUGGCAUAUGAUAAAAGAUAUCUAAUCAAAGCUCAUUUCUCAGAGAAAAGACUGAUACCACCUGCCUUUGGGAGCCAGUCAUAAAAGCCAAUAAUAAUGAUCUCACUGAUGAACCCACUGCAGAAUUGUCUUCUGAUUUCCCAGCAACCAAGCUUAUGGUCUCAAACAUCUGUUGCUGCUGAGUGCAUACACAUGGGACUGCAGCUAUUAUAUCAAUUAUCAUGAGGUUGGGAGCAUGAAAAGUAGAGCAAAUAUCGCAGGGGUUUCGGUUGAUGUGAAGUAGAUCUUGGCAUAGUAUGAUCAUGUUGGUUUAGGCUGGAACAGAAUGAUGGCGAAGCCUUAGGGGUGAGUAAAUGGUGGUGACACUGGAAUGCUCUAUUGGCCCCCCUCUCCUCUCCCCACACAACUCUCGAGAACCCAAGGUUUACUCUGUGGAAGGCCAGUCAUUGCAGUGUUGCAUGUGGAUGGAUGGUGGUGGUGCUCAUGACCCAUCGCUACAAGGAAGGGCUGCAGGGAUUCUAUCGAUGUUGCCUUCUUGAUUCCUCCUACGGGUUCUUGCAUGGAUCCAAGAACAAAUCAUGAGCAGCACUCGAGUGCUGCACUUGAUAACCAGUCAAAAAAGCACCCAAACAUCAUGGCAGCUUCCAGGAGGAGGCAUCGAGGUACUUUUCACCAUCAUACCAGACUAAAAAGUUCUCAUUGGAUUGUGCCUCCAAUGCAGGCAGAUCUGGCAAAAUGAUAGGGAUGGAAGGGUCACUUUGGGAUGGGGACAUAAAGGUAGAAGACCUUUCUCUAGAUUUGCCAGUACAACUUGGGAUGGAAAGGGCAGGCAGAUCAGAUAAGUCUGCUUGCCAUGGAACUGCAUCCAACUUGGUAUGCCGGAGUGAGAUUUGUCUUGCAAAAGGUAGGAUUGCAUGGCUAGAGUGUUGCAGGUGCCAUUGACUUCCAUGUCACUGAAUGCCCCCACAUGGUCCACUCAUGAUGAGAAAUGCAGAGCCCCUUAAUGUAUGCUGGAACUUUCUUCUAUGACUUUUUAUAUUCUGCUGUCCCUGCUCCACCAACUGGUGGUAGGUCUCCUGGAGUCAAACUGUACCGAUGCAUGAUGAGCAGUUUGAAAGCCAUGCCCUAUUAAUGACUAGGUUAAUUUCCUUGGAUCCAAGGAGCUGCAUUUAAGGGAAGGAAAUUAGUGAAGUGCUAUGAUGGCAACCUGGGAUCAUAGAUGGAGGUCUGCUGCAAGUCCCAGUGUGACUGUAGAACCCACAGAUCUUGUACCAGCCUCUCAUGGACUGAUCACUGAUGGAAGCUCCUCUAAUACCUACAAGUCUGCAGUUGAGCAAGUUGUGCUUCUUGCCAAGAAAAUCUGUGAUGGCAAAUUAUGUUCUACAUUUAUUUGCUGAUAAAACCAUCUUUCCAUAAGAUGGCACAGGAUAUUAAAUGAGUGAUGUUUCAGAAGAAUGAUGGAAACAAAAGAAGGCCAGAAACUAAUGUCAAGCUUUCAGAUUCAUGUUUGCAAAAGAAGCUAGUUCUGAAAGAUGGAAACAAAUGCCCCAAACUCAAACACUCGUGAAACAGUUUCAAGGUUGGAAGUAUAGAUAAUAUGCAUUAUUUCAAUUAAUCUCAAGUCUGCAUUGCUCAUAGAAAUGGGACUUUAUCAUCUCAAUGGAAUAAGCAGCAGCGGAAAUCUUGUCUGCAAUGUUCUGCUCUACCAUCAUGAUAAUUUCCACAUUGUCCAGCAUAUCCAUCUGCAAAUCUUACCUGCCAAGCACAGGUAUUGUAUAAGCUUCUACCUAUAAUACCUUUCAGUAGACUGAAGAAUGUUGAUAGACAGUAGAACUGCAAAUCAGAUCAGUGAUCACAACCAUAUUUAACCUAGAUUCUUCUACCGAUCGGAUCAUGAGGCUGUGGCUUUUUGUCAUGGGACAUCACCAGAAAUAUGACUAGGAAUGCAACAAUAGAUCCCUCUACUAGGGUUUGUAAACAACAUAUGUAUUCUCAUCUAGUAGAGGUGGAAGUUUAGUAGUUGACUGACACAUGAACUAGGCAUACUCAUCCACAACGAGUGCUUUACUGUUGGAUAUAUAAAGAAUCCAAGAAAAUUAUCAAGCUUUUGGUCAUGUGUAAUGCAAACUGUGGAUCACUUUUGAAAACUUGAACAACAAAGUUCAGCUUGACAGAGAGAGAUAACAUGCUUACAUCUAGUUUCCUCGAGCAUUACGGCGGAAUCUUUAUAGACUUGAUGAGAUCUUAGAUCACUGAUGUGCUUUAUCAUUCAAAAUUUUUAAAAGAAAUAUUACUUUUAGCUUCAGAACUAGAAUUUUUUUCUUCUGAAUGUGUAUAAAGUAUAUGUAUACAUAUAGUGUCUAUAAACCCA